GGAGGGUUGGCAGAGCGGUUGAAUGCGCUGGUCUUGAAAACCAGUAACGGGGUAACUCGUUCGAGGGUUCGAAUCCCUCACCCUCCG
RNAcentral lists this transfer RNA (87 nucleotides) under Solirubrobacterales bacterium. Its description in RNAcentral is "tRNA-Ser". It matches the Rfam family "tRNA". Rfam says of the family: Transfer RNA (tRNA) molecules are approximately 80 nucleotides in length. The record is from RNAcentral. RNAcentral also lists the same sequence under 1 other name. Lineage: Bacteria; Bacillati; Actinomycetota; Thermoleophilia; Solirubrobacterales.